This 89-nucleotide transfer RNA is filed under the name Staphylococcus aureus. Its description in RNAcentral is "tRNA-Ser". It matches the Rfam family "tRNA". Rfam says of the family: Transfer RNA (tRNA) molecules are approximately 80 nucleotides in length. Their secondary structure includes four short double-helical elements and three loops (D, anti-codon, and T loops). Lineage: Bacteria; Bacillati; Bacillota; Bacilli; Caryophanales; Staphylococcaceae. The record is from RNAcentral.
GGAGAGUUGUCCGAGUUGGCCGAAGGAGCACGCCUGGAAAGUGUGUAGGCGCGACAAGCGUCUCGAGGGUUCGAAUCCCUCACUCUCCG